UAGCGGAGGAAAAGAACUAACAAGGAUUCCCCUAGUAACUGCGAGUGAAGAGGGAAGAGCUCAAAUUUAAAAUCKGGCGGUCUCUGGCUGUCCGAGUUGUAAAUUAGAGAAGUGUUAUCCGCUCAAGCCUGUGCAAAAGUCUCUUGGAAAAGGGCAUCAUAGAGGGUGACAAUCCCGUCUUUGGCACAGAUCACUUGCGCUUUUGUGAUGCGCUCUCGAUGAGUCGAGUUGUUUGGGAAUGCAGCUCUAAAUGGGUGGUAAAUUCCAUSUAAAGCUAAAUAUGGGCGAGAAACCGAUAGCGAACAAGUACCGUGAGGGAAAGAUGAAAAGCACUUUGAAAAGAGAGUCAAACAGUAUGUGAAAUUGUUGAAAGGGAAACGCUUGAAGUCAGUCGUAUCCUUCAGAAAUCAACCUGACCUUUGGCUGGGUGCAUUUUUUGUUGGAUGGGUCAGCAUCAAUUUUGAUCAUUGGAUAAAGGACUUGGGAAUGUGGCAUCUUCGGAUGUGUUAUAGCCCUUGUUUGUAUACAAUGAUUGGGAUUGAGGAACUCAGUGUGACUUUGGUUUGGGGGUAUUGCACCUCACACACGCACUUAGGAUGCUGGCAUAAUGGCUUUAAUCGACCCGUCUUGAAACACGGACCAAGGAGUCUAACAUGCAUGCAAGUGUUUGGGUGGAAAACUCAAGCGCGCAAUGAAAGUGAAAGUUGAGAACCCUUUGGGGUGCAUCGACGCCCGGACUCGAUCUUUUGUGAGAGACCUGCGGUAGAGCAUGUAUGUUGGGACCCGAAAGAUGGUGAACUAUGCCUGAAUAGGGUGAAGUCAGAGGAAACUCUGAUGGAAGCUCGUAGCGAUUCUGACGUGCAAAUCGAUCGUCAAAUUUGGGUAUAGGGGCGAAAGACUAAUCGAACCAUCUAGUAGCUGGUUCCCCCAAUU
RNAcentral lists this ribosomal RNA (933 nucleotides) under Hodophilus foetens. Its description in RNAcentral is "LSU rRNA". It matches the Rfam family "Eukaryotic large subunit ribosomal RNA", at positions 48 to 967 of the family's 3401-position model. The record is from RNAcentral. Lineage: Eukaryota; Fungi; Basidiomycota; Agaricomycetes; Agaricales; Clavariaceae.